UACGGUGGGAGCUAGUGUUAUUGUGAUGACUGGGCGUAGGGUGUGUAGGUGGUAAAGGAUAAAUCGAAUUAAAGUCUGGAUCGCAAUCCUUAACAGUUCGAUUAAAAAAUUUACUUGAAUUAGAGAAAAGAAACUGGUAUGUUUAUGGAGAAGUUAAAUCUGCGAUAUAUAUAGGACCGACAUUGGUGAAACAAGUUUCUGAUCCUAUAUUGAGCUAAAAACACGAAGGCAGGGGAGCAAAAAGGG
Molecule: ribosomal RNA, 246 nt
Filed under: uncultured bacterium
Lineage: Bacteria
Description: partial 16S ribosomal RNA
Rfam family: Bacterial small subunit ribosomal RNA
Source: RNAcentral